Molecule: microRNA precursor, 670 nt
Filed under: Bombyx mori (domestic silkworm)
Lineage: Eukaryota; Metazoa; Arthropoda; Insecta; Lepidoptera; Bombycidae
Description: miR-12
Source: RNAcentral
GGACUGCGCCUUCGUGUGAAUGCCAACAUGAUAAUAUUCUGCAUGGUAAGAGCUGAUUUUUGUCAUUUGUAGACAUUGGUACUCCUGUUUUUGUUUAGUUAUCAACGUUAGCUCAAAAUAGACCCCUUAUAAAUACACUAGUUUUUAGUUGUGUGCAAAUAAACUAGAUUUUUUAGCGCUAGACUUUCUAGAAUAUAUUGUUUUCAUUUUAGAUAGCAUAUGUAUGCAAUUUAUUACUAUCUCAAGUUAAGAUCUGUAUUUGAUAAGAUUCAGACCAUUUAAAUUCAAUCCAAUAAGAUAUAUUUUAAGUUCUGAAGAUCGCUCUCAUACUAGAGAUCGAAUGAGAAGUCCGUGUGUGUUUUAUUCACUAAUGUAAUUUGUACAUUCAACCAGUCGCAACUCUCCAAGCGUCCGUAACCGCAGCCGAGGAGAGAUAUUAUAACGCCAUAUCGAACCAACAGGACAAGGUGGACAAGAAUUUAGUCAAGAAUAUGGUCAUCAAUUAUGUUUUGACACAGUCGAAUAACACUGUCAACAAGUAAGUUAAUACUAUUGAAGUGCUAUUUUUAUUUUGAUUCGUAUAAUAGCAUUGUGCAAUGGGUGGUGGUCACGACCCUCAGUAUUGAGAAAACCGAAGCAAAAAAAAAAAAAAAAAAAAAAAAAAAAAAAA